RNAcentral lists this ribosomal RNA (450 nucleotides) under uncultured organism. Its description in RNAcentral is "partial 16S ribosomal RNA". It matches the Rfam family "Bacterial small subunit ribosomal RNA", at positions 334 to 799 of the family's 1533-position model. The record is from RNAcentral.
CACUCCUACGGGAGGCAGCAGUGGGGAAUAUUGCACAAUGGGGGAAACCCUGAUGCAGCGACGCCGCGUGAGCGAAGAAGUAUUUCGGUAUGUAAAGCUCUAUCAGCAGGGAAGAAAAAUGACGGUACCUGAGUAAGAAGCACCGGCUAAAUACGUGCCAGCAGCCGCGGUAAUACGUAUGGUGCAAGCGUUAUCCGGAUUUACUGGGUGUAAAGGGAGCGCAGGCGGUGCGGCAAGUCUGAUGUGAAAGCCCGGGGCUCAACCCCGGGACUGCAUUGGAAACUACCGAACUAGAGUGUCGGAGAGGUAAGUGGAAUUCCUAGUGUAGCGGUGAAAUGCGUAGAUAUUAGGAGGAACACCAGUGGCGAAGGCGACUUUCUGGACGAUAACUGACGUUGAGGCACGAAAGUGUGGGGAGCAAACAGGAUUAGAAACCCGGGUAGUCCCAUG